Molecule: ribosomal RNA, 411 nt
Filed under: uncultured Desulfovibrio sp.
Lineage: Bacteria; Pseudomonadati; Thermodesulfobacteriota; Desulfovibrionia; Desulfovibrionales; Desulfovibrionaceae
Description: bacterial SSU rRNA
Rfam family: Bacterial small subunit ribosomal RNA
Source: RNAcentral
CCUACGGGAGGCAGCAGUGGGGAAUAUUGCACAAUGGGCGAAAGCCUGAUGCAGCGACGCCGCGUGAGUGAGGAAGUAUUUCGGUAUGUAAAGCUCUAUCAGCAGGGAAGAAAGAAAUGACGGUACCUGAGUAAGAAGCUCCGGCUAAAUACGUGCCAGCAGCCGCGGUAAUACGUAUGGAGCAAGCGUUAUCCGGAUUUACUGGGUGUAAAGGGAGCGUAGGCGGCAGAGCAAGUCUGAUGUGAAAGCCCGGGGCUCAACCCCGGUAGUGCAUUGGAAACUGUUCGGCUCGAGUGUCGGAGGGGUAAGCGGAAUUCCUGGUGUAGCGGUGAAAUGCGUAGAUAUCAGGAAGAACACCGGAGGCGAAGGCGGCUUACUGGACGAUUACUGACGCUGAGGCUCGAAAGCGUG